AGGAUAGGCCGGGAAUUGAACCCGGGCCGCCCGCGUGGCAGGCGAGCAUUCUACCACUGAGCCACC
This 66-nucleotide transfer RNA is filed under the name Cordylochernes scorpioides. Its description in RNAcentral is "tRNA-Gly". The record is from RNAcentral. Lineage: Eukaryota; Metazoa; Arthropoda; Arachnida; Pseudoscorpiones; Chernetidae.